Long non-coding RNA from Papaver somniferum (opium poppy), 323 nucleotides. RefSeq lists it as uncharacterized. The record is from RefSeq and is a predicted model, not a curated record. NCBI's taxonomy places the organism in Eukaryota, Viridiplantae, Streptophyta, Magnoliopsida, Ranunculales, Papaveraceae. The transcript has 4 exons.
GAAUUUUUUCACUUGAAAACCUAAUAGAAACCUAAUGGAAACUCGAUAAAGCUUCACAUCUCUUUAUUUUGUGCAGGGUUUGAUUUUUCAAACAACAUCAGGUUGAUUUCUCAAUUUGGUGCGGUUAUUAGGGUUCAUCAGGUUGAUUUCUCAAUUUGGUGCGGUUAUUAGGGUUUGAUUUUACAAACUUCAUCAGGCUGAUCCUUUUGACAAGUUCCUCAAUGUGAAAAUCCUUGAGCAAGGUUGACAGAAUCAAUUCAUUUGGAUUUGGUGUUUGAUGAGGAGGAAGAUGAAAUUGUUUUUAAAUUAUUGAGCAGUGGUCG